Molecule: ribosomal RNA, 118 nt
Filed under: Facklamia miroungae
Lineage: Bacteria; Bacillati; Bacillota; Bacilli; Lactobacillales; Aerococcaceae
Description: Bacterial large subunit ribosomal RNA
Rfam family: Bacterial large subunit ribosomal RNA
Source: Rfam by way of RNAcentral
GAGAUUUCCCAUUCGAAAGAAUUAAGACCCCUGAGAGACGAUCAGGUAGAUAGGCUAGAAGUGGAAGUAUAGCGAUAUAUGGAGCGGACUAGUACUAAUCGGUCGAGGACUUAACCAU